UACGUAGGCAGCGAGCGUUGUUCGGAGUUACUGGGCGUAAAGGGUGUGUAGGCGGUUCUUUAAGUUUGGUGUGAAAUCUCCCGGCUUAACCGGGAGGGGGCGCCGAAUACUGAGGGACUAGAGUACGGGAGAGGAAAGUGGAAUUCCUGGUGUAGCGGUGAAAUGCGUAGAUAUCAGGAGGAACACCGGUGGUGUAGACGGCUUUCUGGACCGUAACUGACGCUGAGACACGAAAGCGUGGGUAGCAAACAGG
Molecule: ribosomal RNA, 253 nt
Filed under: uncultured bacterium
Lineage: Bacteria
Description: partial 16S ribosomal RNA
Rfam family: Bacterial small subunit ribosomal RNA
Source: RNAcentral